UGCAGUUAAAAAGCUCGUAGUUGAAUUUCUGCGUCACCGAAUUUUGACUUUUGUCGACUGUCGGUUUCGCUUUUGGGAUUUAUCCCUUUUUACUUUGAGAAAAUUAGAGUGUUUCAAGCAGACUUUUGUCUUGAAUACUUCAGCAUGGAAUAAUAGAGUAGGACUUUGGUUCUAUUUUGUUGGUUUGUGAACCUUAGUAAUGGUUAAUAGGAACGGUUGGGGGCAUUCGUAUUUAACUGUCAGAGGUGAAAUUCUUAGAUUUGUUAAAGACGAACUACUGCGAAAGCAUUUGCCAAGGACGUUUUCAUUAAUCAAGAACGAAAGUUAGGGGAUCGAAGACGAUCAGAUACCGUCGUAU
Molecule: ribosomal RNA, 358 nt
Filed under: Babesia odocoilei
Lineage: Eukaryota; Apicomplexa; Aconoidasida; Piroplasmida; Babesiidae
Description: SSU rRNA
Rfam family: Eukaryotic small subunit ribosomal RNA
Source: RNAcentral